GUCGAGCGACGCAUGCCGGAGGGGUAACCCACUGGUAUGACGGAGCGGCGAACGGGUGAGUAACACGUGAGCAAUCUGCCCCGUAGACCGGGAUAGCCCAGGGAAACCUGGAUUAAUACCGGAUGCCCUCGGUGAAUCGCAUGAUUCCUCGAGGAAAAGCUUUUGCGCUAUGGGAUGAGCUCGCGACCUAUCAGCUAGUUGAUGGGGUAAAGGCCUACCAAGGCAUCGACGGGUAGCUGGUCUGAGAGGACGAUCAGCCACACUGGGACUGAGACACGGCCCAGACUCCUACGGGAGGCAGCAGCAGGGAAUCUUGCGCAAUGGGCGAAAGCCUGACGCAGCAACGCCGCGUGGGGGAUGAAGGCCUUCGGGUUAUAAACCCCUUUCAGGAGGGAAGAAAUUGACGGUACCUCCAGAAGAAGCACCGGCCAACUACGUGCCAGCAGCCGCGGUAAUACGUAGGGUGCAAGCGUUAUCCGGAAUCAUUGGGCGUAAAGAGCUCGUAGGCGGUUCAACAAGUCGGCUGUGAAAGUCCGAGGCUUAACCUCGGAAUUGCAGUCGAUACUGUUGUGACUCGAGUCCGGUAGAGGAGAAUGGAAUUCCCGGUGUAGCGGUGAAAUGCGCAGAUAUCGGGAGGAAACA
RNAcentral lists this ribosomal RNA (642 nucleotides) under uncultured bacterium. RNAcentral describes it as "bacterial SSU rRNA". It matches the Rfam family "Bacterial small subunit ribosomal RNA", at positions 61 to 708 of the family's 1533-position model. The record is from RNAcentral.